RNA transcript from Oryza brachyantha (malo sina), 1006 nucleotides. RefSeq lists it as uncharacterized. The record is from RefSeq and is a predicted model, not a curated record. Lineage: Eukaryota; Viridiplantae; Streptophyta; Magnoliopsida; Poales; Poaceae. The transcript is spliced from 3 exons.
UGGCUCUGCCCGUCUUCCUGAACUGAAACCAUGGAGGUGGAGGUGGCGUUAGCACGGCCUCCUCACUCUCCCUACCCCGCCCUAGCCUUCUCCGCCUCCUCGCGGGCACGGCCGUCGAGCGGGUUCUGGAGGCGCCAUGCGGCGGCCGGCCUCCUUCCACCUGCCUCACUGCCCCCACUAUCGGUUCGAAUCAAACAGCGGCAGCAGCUGGUGUUUCUUUCUCAAAAGAUAGGAGUAUUUGGGGUUGCGGGGGUUCGGCUGAAUCCCCAUUCCCCAAUGUUCGCUCCUUCCCUGCGAUUUUUUACUGAGGUUUGUUGUUAAUGUUGGGAAGGAUGAUCUGUUUCUUCUUAUAUCAUUUCUGUGUGAUGCUGUCAAUGGGGAAACAAUGUGCGUCCACCUGCAAAGGCAGCAACUGGAGAUACCGACAGAUGGGAUUGGAGCUUAACAAGUUUGCAAGCCUCUCUGGAAACCAAUCCCACUACACUAUUCAUGAUUAACCUCUGCACCAAAUGGAUUUCAGACAUUUUCCACACAGGUCAGCAAACGGAAUUUUGGUCAUUGCGUUAUUCGUUUUAUUGGAGAUUUGAAAGUGAAAAGUGUUGGAUUGCUGAUUAUCAGUUGUGUGAAUCUGUAGCAAUGAGUUGAUGACUUGUCUUAGUUCAUAAAAAGCUACAGGUUGCAAUUGACCAUUGUAAUUAUAUAUCAUGUGCAUCUUGUCUCAAAGAAUUCACCAGGUGAGGUGGAGCAUCUUUCAGCUCUAAGAGAUAACAUAAGAGUUGACAUGUCGCACAUGUCCUACCAUUGGCCAACAUGUUCCGUAUUAAAUGACAUACUACAGCUUCAAAAUCCAUCUUUUUACAGUACUAAAGUUGGGAUUGUAGGGUAGAGACUAGAGAGGAAUUAUGUAAUAGCUACACUUUGAUUUCCUGAAUGGACAACCAUGGUGAAACAACACAUUCAAAAAAAUGAAUAAACAUUGCACAAAGGAGGCACGAUUAUAUGCCCA